RNAcentral lists this ribosomal RNA (333 nucleotides) under uncultured bacterium. Its description in RNAcentral is "bacterial SSU rRNA". It matches the Rfam family "Bacterial small subunit ribosomal RNA", at positions 28 to 362 of the family's 1533-position model. The record is from RNAcentral.
GACGAACGCUGGCGGCGUGCCUAACACAUGCAAGUCAACUUGAGGGAAGGAGCAAUCUGACCUGAUGGUGGCGCAAGGGUGCGUAACGCGUAAGUAACUUGCCCAAGGUAAGGAAUAACGUCGAGAAAUCGGCGCUAAUACCUCAUAAUGCAGCGGAUCCGCAUGGAUGUGUUGUUAAAGGUUUACCGCCUUGGGAUAGGCUUGCGUCUGAUUAGCUAGUUGGUGUGGUAAUGGCACACCAAGGCUACGAUCAGUAACUGGUCUGAGAGGAUGAUCAGUCACACUGGAACUGAGACACGGUCCAGACUCCUACGGGAGGCAGCAGUGAGGAAU